Molecule: non-coding RNA, 20 nt
Filed under: Rattus norvegicus (Norway rat)
Lineage: Eukaryota; Metazoa; Chordata; Mammalia; Rodentia; Muridae
Source: RNAcentral
UCAGAAACCUGUGGUGACUC